RNAcentral lists this ribosomal RNA (510 nucleotides) under uncultured bacterium. RNAcentral describes it as "bacterial SSU rRNA". It matches the Rfam family "Bacterial small subunit ribosomal RNA", at positions 28 to 528 of the family's 1533-position model. The record is from RNAcentral.
GACGAACGCUGGCGGCGUGGAUUAGGCAUGCAAGUCGAACGGUAUCAUCCUUUCGGGGGUGAGAGAGUGGCGAACUGGUGAGUAACACGUAGGUUAUCUACCCUCAAGACGGGGACAACCCAGGGAAACUUGGGCUAAUACCGGAUGUGAGCAACUUUUAGUUGUUUGAAAGGUGGCGUAAGCUGUCGCUUGGGGAUGAGCCUGCGUCCUAUUAGUUAGUUGGUGAGGUAACGGCUCACCUAGGCAAUGAUAGGUAGGCGGCCUUAACGGGUGGUCGCCCACACUGGGAUUGAGAUACGGCCCAGACUCCUACGGGAGGCAGCAGUCGAGAAUAGUCUACAAUGGUCGGAAGACUGAUAGUGCGACGCCGCGUGAACGAUGAAUCCCUUCGGGGUGUAAAGUUCUUUUAUAUGUGAGCAGUGCUUCUUAUAUUAACAGUAUGGGGAGAGAGAUAUUAGCAUAUGAAUAAGCAACGGCUAACUCCGUGCCAGCCAGCCGCGGUAAACUCGU